CUUGGUCAUUUAGAGGAAGUAAAAGUCGUAACAAGGCCUCCGUAGGUGAACCUGCGGAGGGAUCAUUACAAGAACGCCCGGGCUUCGGCCUGGUUAUUCAUAACCCUUUGUUGUCCGACUCUGUUGCCUCCGGGGCGACCCUGCCUUCGGGCGGGGGCUCCGGGUGGACACUUCAAACUCUUGCGUAACUUUGCAGUCUGAGUAAACUUAAUUAAUAAAUUAAAACUUUUAACAACGGAUCUCUUGGUUCUGGCAUCGAUGAAGAACGCAGCGAAAUGCGAUAAGUAAUGUGAAUUGCAGAAUUCAGUGAAUCAUCGAAUCUUUGAACGCACAUUGCGCCCCCUGGUAUUCCGGGGGGCAUACCUGUUCGAGCGUCAUUUCACCACUCAAGCCUCGCUUGGUAUUGGGCAACGCGGUCCGCCGCGUGCCUCAAAUCGUCCGGCUGGGUCUUCUGUCCCCUAAGCGUUGUGGAAACUAUUCGCUAAAGGGUGUUCGGGAGGCUACGCCGUGAAACAACCCCAUUUCUAAGGUUGACCUCGGAUCAGGUAGGGAUACCCGCUGAACUUAAGCAUAUCAAUAAGCGGAGGA
Molecule: ribosomal RNA, 588 nt
Filed under: uncultured Davidiellaceae
Lineage: Eukaryota; Fungi; Ascomycota; Dothideomycetes; Cladosporiales; Cladosporiaceae
Description: eukaryotic LSU rRNA
Rfam family: 5.8S ribosomal RNA (bases 224-377)
Source: RNAcentral